UACAGAGGGCCCGAGCGUUGCGCGGAAUCACUGGGCUUAAAGGGUGCGUAGGCGGAAUCGUAAGUGUCUCGUGAAAUCCCACGGCUCAACCGUGGAACCGCGGGGCAUACUGCGAUUCUUGAGGCUGGUAGGCGCCGCCGGAACUGUGGGUGUAGCGGUGAAAUGCGUAGAUAUCUACAGGAACGCCGAUGGUGAAGACGGGCGGCUUGGCCAGUUCUGACGCUGAGGCACGAAAGCGUGGGGAUCAAACAGG
Molecule: unclassified non-coding RNA, 253 nt
Filed under: uncultured Phycisphaeraceae bacterium
Lineage: Bacteria; Pseudomonadati; Planctomycetota; Phycisphaerae; Phycisphaerales; Phycisphaeraceae
Description: contains 16S-23S intergenic spacer region
Rfam family: Bacterial small subunit ribosomal RNA
Source: RNAcentral